CGGAAUGUGACUCAGUGGUAGAGUUCUUGUCUAGCAUGCAUGAGGUCCUGGGUUUGACCCCCAGCACUGCAA
This 72-nucleotide transfer RNA is filed under the name Ictidomys tridecemlineatus (thirteen-lined ground squirrel). RNAcentral's name for it is "Spermophilus tridecemlineatus (thirteen-lined ground squirrel) tRNA". It matches the Rfam family "tRNA". From Rfam's summary of the family: Transfer RNA (tRNA) molecules are approximately 80 nucleotides in length. Their secondary structure includes four short double-helical elements and three loops (D, anti-codon, and T loops). Further hydrogen bonds mediate the characteristic L-shaped molecular structure. tRNAs have two regions of fundamental functional importance: the anti-codon, which is responsible for specific mRNA codon recognition, and the 3' end, to which the tRNAs corresponding amino acid is attached (by aminoacyl-tRNA synthetases). tRNAs cope with the degeneracy of the genetic code in two manners: having more than one tRNA (with a specific anti-codon) for a particular amino acid; and 'wobble' base-pairing, i.e. permitting non-standard base-pairing at the 3rd anti-codon position. Lineage: Eukaryota; Metazoa; Chordata; Mammalia; Rodentia; Sciuridae. The record is from Rfam by way of RNAcentral.